CGGGGACGGCUCCGGGGGUCUCCUGGGGGACCCCUUUGGGGGCGUCUCGGGGGCUCUUCUCGGGGACGCCUCUCGGCGGCGUCUCGGGGAGCCCUUGGGGGGCGUCUCGGGGGGUCUUCUUCUUGGGGAGCCCUUUGGGGACCCCUCUCGGCGUCGCCGCGGGGAUCCCUUUGGGGACGCGUCCGGGGGUCUUCGCGGGGACGUCUCUCGCCGCCGUCUUGGGGAGCCCUUUGGGGAGCCCUUUGGGGACGCGUCCGGGGGUUUUCGGGGGGACCCCUUCGGGGAGCGCCUCGGGGACCCCUUGGGGAACUUCUCGGGGCAGCGCCCGGGGGAACUUCGGGGGGACCCUUGGGGACAUCGCGCCGGGUCCCCGCCGGGGCACCGCCCCCAGCUCCCGUUUGGGGGGGCCCCGGGGGGGGGGACAUCCGAGGAGCCCUUGGGGGACGUUUCCGAGGAGCCCUUGGGGGACAUCCGGGACGUUUCUGAGGACCCAUUUGGGGACAUCUCCGAGGAGCCCCCUGGGGACAACGGGGCCACCUCCGAGGACCCCUCUGGGGACAUCUGAGACGUUUCCGAGGAGCCCCUUGGGGACAUCUCCGAGGAGCCCUUUGGGGACACCGGGGACAAAGCCGAGGUCCCCUUUGGGGACGUCCCCGGGGCCACUUUCGGGGACCCACACGGGGACAUGGGGGGGACCCCUGGGGAGCGCUCUGGGGACGCGUGGUGCCUCUCCGGGGUCCCCUCUGGGGACAUCGGGGACGCUUCCGAGGAGCCAUUUGGGGACACGUGUCCCCUCUCUGGGGACAUCUCCCCGGCCGCCUUUGGGGACAUCGGGGUCACUUCCGAGGAGCCAUUUGGGGACAUUUGACAGCGCUGUGGGGACAUCUCCGGGGCCGCCUUCGGGGACCCCUUUGGGGACACGGGGCGCCUCCGUGGGGACAUCUCCGGGGCCACCUCUGGGGGUCCCUUUGGGGACGUUGGGGACAAUUCCGAAGACCCCUCUGGGGACAUUUCCAAGGGCUUCUCUGGGGACAUCGGGGACAUCGCCGGGGCCACCUCCGAGGACCCCUUUGGGGACAUUGGGGUCACAUAUGGGGACCCCUUUGGGGACAUUGGGGACGGAUAUGGGGACCCCUUUGGGGACAUUGGGGACAUCUCCGGUGUCACCUUCGGGGUCACCUCUGGGUGCCACUCGGGGGCCAUCAGCGGGGACCCCCUCGGGGCCAUCCCUGGGGACCCCUUUUGGGGGGGGACGUCCCCAAGGGCCACCGGGGCCACCCCCUCCUCUCCGUGUCCCCCGACCUUGGGGACAUCGGCGCCCGCCACCGUCAGCGUUGGGGACACGGGGGCUCGUCCCCCUUGUCCCCCCCGGGGCGGGAUGGGGGGCGGUGCCCCUCGUGUCCGGGCUGGGGACACCGAUGUCACCGGCGGCGGAGGUGACACCGCGUGGGACGGUGGUGGCAUCUCUGGGGGCUGCGUCCCCUGGGUCCUUGGUGGCACCGCUGGGGACAUCAGUGCCACCAGGGGGGGAGAUGACGCUGGGAGUGACAGAGGUGGCAGCUCCCGUGUCCGUGGGGACACCCCACGUCCCGCCGAGCCCAAAGGGGACGUCCCCUGUGUCACCUCUCGUGUCAUCGGCGUCCCCUCUCGUGUCAUGGACGUCCCCUCUCGUGUCACCGGUGUUCUGUCCCAGGUCGGUGGUGGCACCUCCUGUCCCCAUGGUGGCAUCUCCAGUGCCACCGGUGUCCCCUCUCGUGCCACCACUGUCCCCUCUUGUGUCACCGCUGACCUGUCCCAGCUCAGUGGUGGCAUCUCCAGCGCCACUGGGGACAUCGUCUGUGUCCCCUCUCGUGUCACCGCCGUCCCCCCUCGUGUCACCGCUGACCUCUCCCAUGUCGCUGGUGUCCCCUCCCGUCCCCACGGUGCCACCCCCAGUGCCGUCGCCGUCCCCUCCCGUGUCCCCGCUGUCCCCUCCCGGCUCAGUGCUGUCCCCUCCCGUCCCCAAGGUGCCACCAUCU
This 2018-nucleotide long non-coding RNA is filed under the name Numida meleagris (helmeted guineafowl). Its description in RNAcentral is "lncRNA (ENSNMEG00000003607.1)". The record is from RNAcentral. Lineage: Eukaryota; Metazoa; Chordata; Aves; Galliformes; Numididae.